GUGGGGAAUAUUGCACAAUGGGGGAAACCCUGAUGCAGCGACGCCGCGUGAGCGAUGAAGUAUUUCGGUAUGUAAAGCUCUAUCAGCAGGGAAGAAAAUGACGGUACCUGACUAAGAAGCCCCGGCUAACUACGUGCCAGCAGCCGCGGUAAUACGUAGGGGGCAAGCGUUAUCCGGAUUUACUGGGUGUAAAGGGAGCGUAGACGGCAUGGCAAGCCAGAUGUGAAAGCCCGGGGCUCAACCCCGGGACUGCAUUUGGAACUGUCAGGCUAGAGUGUCGGAGAGGAAAGCGGAAUUCCUAGUGUAGCGGUGAAAUGCGUAGAUAUUAGGAGGAACACCAGUGGCGAAGGCGGCUUUCUGGACGGUGACUGACGUUGAGGCUCGAAAGUGUGGGUAUCAAACAGGA
This 406-nucleotide ribosomal RNA is filed under the name uncultured bacterium. Its description in RNAcentral is "bacterial SSU rRNA". It matches the Rfam family "Bacterial small subunit ribosomal RNA", at positions 354 to 777 of the family's 1533-position model. The record is from RNAcentral.